This 301-nucleotide ribosomal RNA is filed under the name uncultured bacterium. RNAcentral's name for it is "partial 16S ribosomal RNA". It matches the Rfam family "Bacterial small subunit ribosomal RNA", at positions 509 to 807 of the family's 1533-position model. The record is from RNAcentral.
CAGUCGCCACGGUAAUACGGAGGAUCCGAGCGUUAUCCGGAAUUAUUGGGUUUAAAGGGUGCGUAGGCGGAUAGAUAAGUCAGUGGUGAAAGACGGUGGCUCAACCAUCGCAGUGCCGUUGAUACUGUUUAUCUUGAAUAUGGAUGAGGUAGGCGGAAUGUGGCAAGUAGCGGUGAAAUGCAUAGAUAUGCCACAGAACACCGAUUGCGAAGGCAGCUUACCAAGGCAAAAUUGACGCUGAGGCACGAAAGCGUGGGGAUCGAACAGGAUUAGAUACCCCUGUAGUCCCUGUCUCUUAUAC